AGGACGACGCUGGCGGCGUGCCUAACACAUGCAAGUCGAGCGGGGACUUGCGACGGAUUUGAAGUUUCGGAUGGAAAUGAAGAUGUAAAGUUCUAGCGGCGGACGGGUGAGUAACGCGUGAGCAACCUGUCCCUUACAGGGGGAUAACACAGCGAAAGUUGUACUAAUACCGCAUGAGACCACGGUGAGACAUCUCACAGGGGUCAAAGGAGCAAUCCGGUAAGGGGUGGGCUCGCGUCCGAUUAGAUAGUUGGUGAGGUAACGGCCCACCAAGUCGACGAUCGGUAGCCGACCUGAGAGGGUGAUCGGCCACAUUGGGACUGAGACACGGCCCAAACUCCUACGGGAGGCAGCAGUGGGGAAUAUUGGGCAAUGGGGGGAAACCCUGACCCAGCAACGCCGCGUGAGGGAAGAAGGUUUUCGGAUCGUAAACCUCUGUCCUUGGUGAAGAGGAAGAGACGGUAGCCAAGGAGGAAGCCCCGGCUAACUACGUGCCAGCCGCUGC
RNAcentral lists this ribosomal RNA (505 nucleotides) under uncultured bacterium. Its description in RNAcentral is "bacterial SSU rRNA". It matches the Rfam family "Bacterial small subunit ribosomal RNA", at positions 33 to 518 of the family's 1533-position model. The record is from RNAcentral.